Molecule: transfer RNA, 73 nt
Filed under: Trichonephila inaurata madagascariensis
Lineage: Eukaryota; Metazoa; Arthropoda; Arachnida; Araneae; Nephilidae
Rfam family: tRNA
About the family: Transfer RNA (tRNA) molecules are approximately 80 nucleotides in length. Their secondary structure includes four short double-helical elements and three loops (D, anti-codon, and T loops). Further hydrogen bonds mediate the characteristic L-shaped molecular structure. tRNAs have two regions of fundamental functional importance: the anti-codon, which is responsible for specific mRNA codon recognition, and the 3' end, to which the tRNAs corresponding amino acid is attached (by aminoacyl-tRNA synthetases). tRNAs cope with the degeneracy of the genetic code in two manners: having more than one tRNA (with a specific anti-codon) for a particular amino acid; and 'wobble' base-pairing, i.e. permitting non-standard base-pairing at the 3rd anti-codon position.
Source: Rfam by way of RNAcentral
GCCGAAAUAGCUCAGUUGAGAGAGCGUUAGACUGAAGGUAUAGAGGUCCCCGGUUCGAUCCCGGGUUUCGACA